This is a long non-coding RNA of Galleria mellonella (greater wax moth), 343 nucleotides long. RefSeq lists it as uncharacterized. The transcript has 2 exons. The record is from RefSeq and is a predicted model, not a curated record. Lineage: Eukaryota; Metazoa; Arthropoda; Insecta; Lepidoptera; Pyralidae.
UGCGAGGGUACUUGCUUGUGGUGGUGACAUCUGUGUCCGCGGGUUCCGUGUUCGAUUCUGUCGCAUCAGGCGAUGCGGUGCCUUUGCUGCGCCUUAGUAGCUGGUUUCGGCGAUCUUUCAAGCCCUGCGGAGGGAUAAUGAGGAUAUCGAGGGCGAGAGAAGAGGAACGAUAGUUAUUAAAAAAAAAAAAAAAACUAUAAAAUAUUUAAAUUGUAAAAUAAAUCGAAUAAAUUUUUGUGUUUAAUUAAUAACCUACAACCUUAUCCCAUUUUAGUUUUGAUGUAAAUACGAAUUAAGUCAAAGUAAGAUUAUAAAUUUAUGCAUUAAACGUUUUGUAUUUUGA